UGGGGAAUUUUGCGCAAUGGGCGAAAGCCUGACGCAGUAACGCCGCGUGGAGGAUGAAGGCCUUCGGGUUGUAAACUCCUGUCAGGGGGAACGACGGGGAAGGGGUGAUAAGCCUUUUCCUCCAGACGGUACCUCCAAAGGAAGCCCCGGCUAAUUCCGUGCCAGCAGCCGCGGUAAUACGGAAGGGGCAAGCGUUGUUCGGAAUUAUUGGGCGUAAAGGGCGCGUAGGUGGUUCUGUAUGUCUCUCGUGAAAGCCCACGGCUCAACCGUGGCGUGUCGGGAGAAACUGCAGGACUUGAGGCUGGGAGGGGCUGGUGGAAUUCCCUGUGUAGCGGUGAAAUGCGUAGAGAUGGGGGAGAACACUCGUGGCGAAGGCGGCCAGCUAGACCAGUUCUGACACUGAGGCGCGACAGCGUGGGGAGCAAACAGGAUUAGAUACCCCCGUAGUCC
Molecule: ribosomal RNA, 450 nt
Filed under: uncultured bacterium
Lineage: Bacteria
Description: bacterial SSU rRNA
Rfam family: Bacterial small subunit ribosomal RNA
Source: RNAcentral